CAGCCGCCGCGGGAAUACGAAGGGGGCUAGCGUUGUUCGGAAUUACUGGGCGUAAAGCGCACGUAGGCGGAUAUUUAAGUCAGGGGUGAAAUCCCAGAGCUCAACUCUGGAACUGCCUUUGAUACUGGGUAUCUUGAGUAUGGAAGAGGUGAGUGGAAUUCCGAGUGUAGAGGUGAAAUUCGUAGAUAUUCGGAGGAACACCAGUGGCGAAGGCGGCUCACUGGUCCAUUACUGACGCUGAGGUGCGAAAGCGUGGGGAGCAAACAGGAUUAGAGACCCCUGUAGUCCCUGUCUCUUAUAC
RNAcentral lists this ribosomal RNA (301 nucleotides) under uncultured bacterium. RNAcentral's name for it is "partial 16S ribosomal RNA". It matches the Rfam family "Bacterial small subunit ribosomal RNA", at positions 509 to 807 of the family's 1533-position model. The record is from RNAcentral.